AUUCUUAGUGGCGGACGGGUUAGUAACACGUGAGAAUCCUACCCUUGAGUGGGGAAUAGCCUUUCGAAAGGAAGAUUAAUGCCCCAUAGUCUCUACGGAGUAAAGAUGCCUUCGGGUGUCGCUUAAGGAUGGGCUCGCGGCCUAUCAGCUAGUUGGUGAGGUAAGAGCUCACCAAGGCAACGACGGGUAGCUGGUCUGAGAGGACGAUCAGCAACACUGGAACUGAGACACGGUCCAGACACCUACGGGUGGCAGCAGUCGAGAAUCAUUCACAAUGGACGAAAGUCUGAUGGUGCAACGCCGCGUGGAGGAUGACGGCCCUAGGGUUGUAAACUCCUGUCAUCAGGGAGUAAGACUUAUUCGUUAAUAGCGUGUAAGUUUGAUAGUACCUGAAGAGGAAGGGACGGCUAACUUCGUGCCAGCAGCCGCGGUAAUACGAAGGUCCCAAGCGUUGUUCGGAAUAACUGGGCGUAAAG
This 476-nucleotide ribosomal RNA is filed under the name uncultured Roseibacillus sp. RNAcentral describes it as "bacterial SSU rRNA". It matches the Rfam family "Bacterial small subunit ribosomal RNA", at positions 88 to 565 of the family's 1533-position model. The record is from RNAcentral. Lineage: Bacteria; Pseudomonadati; Verrucomicrobiota; Verrucomicrobiia; Verrucomicrobiales; Verrucomicrobiaceae.